UCACAACACAACUGUCUCUUCUCGUGUUCCCACCACCCCCAUAUAUAUAUAAACCUUUCUUUUUCUUUUCUUUUCUCUCUCUCUCUCCCAAAGAAAAAGAAAAAAAAAAAAAAUCUUUUUCUGUGUAAUUAAAGGGGGUAACUAGUUUUUCUUCUUUCUAGAACUAGCUUUAGAUUCGAUCAAGUCACAAACUUUUCUUCGAUUUGAAUGGAGGGUACUCAUCAUCUUCGUCAUCUGCAUCAACAACAACAACAAAAACAAAGGGUUCUUCCUCAGAGUAUGAGUAGUGUCAACGUGGAUGUGACUGAUAGGUUUCCCCAAUGGAGCAUCCAAGAAACAAAAGAGUUUCUUGUGAUCCGUGCAGAGCUGGAUCAGACUUUCAUGGAGACUAAGAGGAACAAACAGUUGUGGGAAGUGAUAUCCAACCGAAUGAAGGAAAAGGGUUACCAUAGAAGUGCAGAGCAGUGCAAGUGCAAGUGGAAAAACCUUGUUACUCGCUAUAAGGGAUUUGAAACAAUGGAGCAAGAAGCGACGAGACAGCAAUUCCCAUUUUACAAUGAAUUCAAUGCAAUUUUCACGGCAAGGAUGCAGAGAAUGUUGUGGGCUGAAGCUGGGGGUGGAUCGAAGAAGAACAAGGCGAUGACGAUGCAGCUCUCAUCGGACGAAGAAGAUGGCAAAGAAGAGAGUACUGAAGCCGGUAGCGACAGAAAGAAGAAAAAGGCAAAGAUAGUUAGUGGGGGUGGUGGUAGUUUGAACAAUUUGAAGGAGAUUUUGGAGGAUUUCAUGAGGCAACAGAUGCAAAUAGAAGCACAAUGGAUGGUGGCGUUCGAGGCGAGGGAGAAUGAGAGGAGGUUGAAGGAGAUGGAGUGGAGGCAAGCCAUGGAGGUGUUGGAGAAUGAGAGGAUAAUGAUGGAAGAAAGAUGGAGAGAAAGGGAGGAACAAAGGAGGAUUAGGGAAGAAGCUAGGGCUGAGAAGAGGGAUGCACUAAUCACAGCUUUGCUAAACAAGCUAGAGAGACAAGGAAUGUAGUGGAGAGGACUUUGUUCUAUCACACAAAACUCACUUCGAUGAUCUGUUCCGACUUAAGAAGAAACUAGUGUUUGAUUGUUGACAAGAAAAUACAAAUAGUGGGCUCCAAGAAAAAGGCAAGAGAUGUAGUUUAGUAGUUAGCUAGCUAGCCAAGUGGCCAACUAUAAUGUGUUUCCUCUUCUUCUCAUGAAAGGAAGCUUGAUUAUAGAGCUAGCUGAUAUGGGUUUGCAUGCACACGAGAGGUCUUCAAGGAUUAUAGUUACAUUGACCUGUGCACGUGAGAACGCUAGACGUAAUUGAAGCCGGAGAAACGUUAUCAGCAGCUUAGGUAUGAACUUAUGACUUUUAAUAAGUAAAUUUCAGCUGCAUGAUAUCGUGUUUCAUAAUCAUCCAUUUUAUAUACACGCAUGCUAAAUUGUCUUUUGUUUUUCUUUCGUUGAGAAAAUAGUUAAGGUAAAGGAAGAAAUGGAGAUGAUAGAUAACUGAGCUAAUGCUUAUGAGGAGAAAAAGAGAGUGGAAUAUCAAUUAAUGCUGAUCCAAUAUAUAUAAAUGAAUGAAUGAAUAAUUAAGAGCCCGUAAGUAAAAUAAAAUUCAAUGUGAAAUAACACAUACCCACAUACACAUAAUUGAGGUAAUUAAUGCUUAGAUAAUGUUGCCUUGUGUG
This is an RNA transcript of Glycine soja, 1693 nucleotides long. It is a transcript of the gene named trihelix transcription factor GT-3b-like, with no coding region annotated. The record is from RefSeq and is a predicted model, not a curated record. Lineage: Eukaryota; Viridiplantae; Streptophyta; Magnoliopsida; Fabales; Fabaceae. The transcript has 3 exons.